This 428-nucleotide ribosomal RNA is filed under the name uncultured bacterium. RNAcentral describes it as "bacterial SSU rRNA". It matches the Rfam family "Bacterial small subunit ribosomal RNA", at positions 29 to 438 of the family's 1533-position model. The record is from RNAcentral.
AAUGAACGCUGGCGGCGUGCUUAACACAUGCAAGUCGAACGAGAAAGGGAUUGCUUGCAGUCCCGAGUAGAGUGGCGCACGGGUGAGUAACACGUAGAUAAUCUGCCUUCAAGCCUGGGAUAACUAUUCGAAAGGGUAGCUAAUACCGGAUAAAGUCGAUCUACACAAGUAGAUUGAUGAAAGAUUGCCUCUUCUUGAAAGCAAUUGUUUGGAGAUGAGUUUGCGUACCAUUAGCUUGUUGGUGGGGUAAAGGCCUACCAAGGCAACGAUGGUUAGCUGGUCUGAGAGGAUGAUCAGCCACACUGGAACUGGAACACGGUCCAGACUCCUACGGGAGGCAGCAGUGAGGAAUUUUGCGCAAUGGGGGCAACCCUGACGCAGCAACGCCGCGUGAGUGAAGAAGGCCUUUGGGUCGUAAAGCUCUGUCA